AAAGGAUUUCUUCUUGAUCUUGAAAUCGCAAGGUUUCCUUGCCAUAUUUGUCACCGCAAAAACAUCCAUUAUGCUACUGAGAAAGCAUUAGCCGUCCAAAGAAAAUUUUGUACUUAACCUUUGAAAACCACUUCUUCAAUGGAUUUACAAUUUGUUGGUUUCCUGUUUCGCGAGACUGUCGAAUCUUUCGAAUGGAUUUUCAAGGAGUUCCUAAACUGUAUGAUUAAACAUCCGAAGACUAUAAUAACCGAUCAGGACCCUACAAUGAAGAAUGCCAUCACACAACUAUUUCCAAAUACAUUUCAUCGAUUCUGUUUGUGGCACAUCACACAUAAGAUGAGGGACAAAAUUUGAUGUACUUAUCAUGAUCGUUCUGCCAUGGAUAAAUUUCAUGAAUUUCUAAACAAGUCCACCAACAUACAAUCUUUUGAGGAAUCAUGGUCAGCAUGGAUUAACGAAAACGGUCUACAAGAGAAUGAUUGGUUAAAAGACAUCUACAAAAUUCAUUUUCAGUGAUGCCCGGUGUACAUGAUAGACCAUUUCUUCGCAGGAAUGAAAACUAUGCAACGUAGCGAAGGAAUGAACAGUAUAGUCAAAAUGAAAAUAAGAUUACAUUACACACUACUGAAAUUUUAUUCUAAAUUUGAAUACGCCCUACUAUCCCUACGUGAAAAAGAAAACUCAAAGGAUCAUCAUGGUCAGUUUGCACCACAAAAAACAUUGACUCCAUUGGUCAUUGAACGACACAUCUGUGGAUUGUAUACUCAUGAGAUUUUCAUUGACUUUCAAGAACAGGCAAUUCGUAGUUUGCACUACUUCUUUAGGCCUCAAGACCUACAUAAAAGGGUAAGCUCAUAAAAAAACAUUACUUAUAAUGUUUCUUUAACAUACUACGAAUCACUGGACUACUUACUUUCCCUCCGUGCAUCAAUAAUCUCGUUACUUACAUUCUACUAACAUACAGAUAUACGACGCAAUAUCAAUCGGAUCAUUCGAGGUUCAGGUACUGUCCAGGAGGAAGGGGUGUUCGCAAAUUGCACAUGUUGUUUGUUCGAAUCAUUUGGAAUUCCCUGCAGACACCUUAUCUGUUACUUAACACUCAACAGUAUAUCAAUUUUACCUCAAACAUUAGUGUGCGAUAGAUGGAGGGCCAUUCAAAAAAACAAACCUUCUGCAACUAGCCACACAACCGAAAAUUUAUGGAUCAAUAACUAGAUUCCAUGAUACAAACAACCAAAUUAUAUAUCGAUAUUGGGAAUCUAAUAGUCGCAAGAACCAAGGGUUGUGGACAUGGGGGGCGACCACCUAAAAAUUCAGAAAGAUUCAUUUCAAGAAGGGAGAGCCAUAUCUCGAAACAAAGAUCAUGUUCUGUGGAAUGAAGAGCCAUGACAAACGUUCUUGCCCAUCAAAGGAGGAUCACAUAAGACAACAAGAGUGAGAUCGUGCGUAUAUAAAGAACUUGGUAGAAUUUUCUAAAUUGAUGACUUAUGCAAUUUCAGAUUAAUGAAUUUUUCAUAUCUAAUAUUGUGUGUUAAAACAACAAUUUCAAUAGUAAUAAUAUUCAAUUGGUUAACUACAUGACAACACCCUAAAUAUUCAUAUUAAAGUUGACAAAUCAAGAAAGCCUUCAAAACACACACAUAAAAACCAUCGGCACGAGUCCACCAUAUCAAUCGUCAAAGGUUGCCAUCACGCGGAUCCCGUCUAAUAGACACAAUUUCGCCGCAUCCAAAUCUUUGUCUAAUACAUAUCCAACAUACCCAAGCGCUAAAGACUCAAUGACCAACAACAUUCGCAGGCCAUUAUCGUCGUCUUUGCAUUUGACCUGCUGGAAACGGGGUUCAAUAUAUCAAUGCCUGAUACAUUAGAAAUUACAAUGAUAUCAACUAAAAAAUAAAUUCCAAUGUACGGGACAAAAUGAGUGAGAAUGUUUGAAUGAUGGUUGAAGAUAACAAGCACAAAAAGGCAUAAAAAAGGCAAUGUUCAUGUUUAUCCUGAUGUUCAAACAUAUCCAAAACAGAAAUAGGAAAUCUGGAAAAUAAAUGGCUAGAUCAAUGGUACAUAUGGCUAAAUAAGCGGUGAUCAUCUUCUUGAUAGAACAAGAAACAUCCACUUUGUUUACAGUAAUAAGAAAUGAAGCAGCAAUAAGAGAGAAGACUUUUAAGAAAAAUAAGAAAAAUAAGCAGUUUACAGUAAACUAAAAAAACCAAAAUUAUGCUAAACACGAAUUUACAGUAAAUAGAACACGAAUCUAUCUUGUUUACCAUAUUUACAUAUCAAAAUAACAACAAACCAAAAUAUUCAGUAAACAAAACAAAUCCGGAAAUCCGAAUCCAAAUAGUCAUAUUCGAAUUCGAAUUCGAAUGCGGAUUCGAAUACGAAUUUCGGUAUACCAUUUACAGUUUACCCAUAAUUAAAAUAAUGUACUGCACAAGAUACUAACACAUGUACGACGAAAAAAAAUGUAUAACAAAAGACACUAAUUCAUGUACGACGAAAUGUCGAUCUAAUGGUUAGGAUUUUUUGGCGCAUUUUGACGUAUUUAAAUUCGACGUAAAGGAAACUUACCCACCAUUGGUCCAAAGGUCCAAAGCUCCUGGAAUAGACGGCUUGACGAUGGAAUUUCUCUCCCACCAUUGGCGAGUGAUGAAGGAUGACUUCCUAUAUGCAAUCUUACAUUUCUUCAACACGAAACGAAUGUUGUGAUCCCUCAACCUAGCAACUUUGACCCUCAUUCCGAAAGUCCAAGUCCCCGAGCGCCUUGAGGACUAUAGGCCAAUAUCGUACAUUGGUAUCACCUACAAGGUUUUCUCAAAAAUCCUAGCGACAAGGCUGACGACAAUACUUCCGAACCUCAUCAGUCAGAAUCAAAUGGCAUUCAUCAAGGGACGUCGGAUUUGUGAUGCAAUUGGCUUGGCACAAGAGUUUACCUAAGGUUUCAACUGCAAGAGCACCUCGAGAAGAGCUUGCGUUACAAUAGACUUUGCCAAAGCAUUCGAUACAGUACGGUGGGAUGCAAUUGAAAUAGUGAUGGAAAUGAUGGGGAUAGACCGCGAAUUUCAAAAUCUAGUCAUGGCUUGUAUAUCCACAGCAUCGGUGUCCGCCUUGGUGGAGGGCUCCCCAACCCAAGCGAUAAAAAUGCAGAGGGGACUGCGACACGGUGAUCCGCUCUCCCCGCUCAUAUUCGUAAUGGUGAAAGAGUACCUCACUAGGCUGGUUGAAGUCGCGGUGAGGGAUAGGAAACUUGAGCUAUAUACAGUCGGAGGUGUCCAAGUCGAAAGUCACCUAGCAUUUGCGGAUGAUGUCACUUUCUUUUAUAGGCAUCGAGGAAAUCUCUAACAACACUGAAGGAGCUUCUGGCAGAGUUUGAAACCUUCUCUGGCCUUAGGAUUAACACCGACAAGAGCUCCAUUAUCCUUUCCAAACGAGUGGUCGACAAAACAGAGUUGGCUCUGAUCCUUGGGUUCCAACUCAAAGAUCUCCCAAUCAAAUACCUAUUCACUCCUCUUACAGGGAAAAUGAUCAAAUAUAGGGAUUGUGAUUGCUUGCUUGCAGAAUUAAAGAACAUAUUUACAAGAUGGACAACCAAGAAGCUCUCCUACAUGGGGAGAAUCCAAUUGGUGGAAUGGGUCUUUCAUGGGAAGUUUGGUUACAUCACACAGAGUAGUGUGAUGCCGCAGGCAGCUAUCCGAGCGAUGCAAUCGAUCACUUAUAGGUUCAUAUGGGGCACCCAACACGAGAUAGUGUGGGAGAUUAUGACAAUGCCGAGAAAGAAUGGAGGAAUAGGAAUCCGUGACUACCGAUCCACACAACAAGCUGCAAUUAUUGGGAGAGCCUGCAGAAUGUGGGAACGGGACAACCUAUGGAGCAAGUGGAUGUGCGAUUGAUACAUCAAAGGCAGGCCAAUCGCGCAAAUUGAAAAGAAACACCUUGACUCUGGAAAUUGGAAAGCUAUCAUCGGGCAGAAGGACUACAUCGCAAAAUGCGCAGUGCUGGGGCCAAACUACGCUAGUAAUUGGAUCAGAAAAGGAUCAUCAGUAGCUACAAAGAACGUGUGAGCUACUCUAUCUCCCUAGCUCCCAAUUGACGAAUUGGCAAAGGGCAUCUGGGCUAACAAAAUCGGUAAGGUAGCUCUCAAUCUUUGGAGGAUAAGGAGGAGGAACCUUCCGACUAAAGAUCGAUUGAUUAAGAGAGGUAUGUCAAUUCCCGGAAACUGUGAACUCUGCAACUCGAGCUCAGAGACAACAGACCACCUAUUCUCGACAUGUGACUACACGAGGUGGAUCUUGGUGGAAGCAAUGGGUGCAGCCGGGGGUUUGGUGAAGCUCAAUGACAUCAACAGUUUCGAAAAUGCUGCAGCUGAGCUAAACAAAGUGACUAAUGGAACACCUCUAUGGGGGCUGGUGUGGAAUAUUUAUGGCACAGCCCUCUUCCACAUAUGGAAGCAAAGGAAUUCAAGGAGGGUGAUGGCACGACGCGAGCCCAAACAGGUGCUGCUGAGACAAAUUCUCGCAGCGACAGAAAUUAGGUUUGAUGAGAGUAAAUUCAAACGAAGGUGCUCUAAUCCGAGUGAACAGAAAGCGUCGCUCCAGUGGGACGCGUUGCAAAUGCUCAUCCACGAAGGAUGAAGGGAGGUUAGCCAAGGCUAACCCCCAUGCGUAGGUUUAACUAUUGUAAUUAUCUUGUUUUAAUUAUCUUUUACAUUAUCUGCUAUGAAUUUUUAUUAUUAAUACAAAGUACCCUAAAUCAAAAAAAAAUGCAAAUUUGGGAAAGAAAUAGCUACAUCGAUAAUAAAAAACUUUUAAGAAAAAUAAGAGAGAAAACUUUUACACCUCAUAAGAAAAAUAAGAAAUGAAGCAGCAAUAAGAGAGAAGUCUUUUAAGAAAAAUAAGCAGUUCACAGUAAAGUCAAAUAAACCAAAAUUAUGCUAAACACGAAUUUACAGUAAAUAGAACACGAAUCUAUCUUGUUUAUCAUAUUUACAUAUCAAAAUAACAACAAACCAAAAUAUUCAGAAUCCGAAUAGUCAUAUUCGAAUUCGAAUGCGAUUUCGAAUACGAAUUUCGGUAUACCAUUUACAGUUUACCCAUAGUUAAAAUAAGGUACUGCACAAGAUACUAACACAUGUACGACGAAAAAAAAUGUACAACAAAAGACACUAAUUCAUGUACGACGAAAUGUCGAUCUAAUGGUCAGGAUUUUUUGACGCAUUUUGACGUAUUUAAAUUCGAUGUAAAGGAAACUUACCCUAUAGUUAUAUAACUUUAUAAAGAUUCAGUUUUUAAGUCUCGUUAUUUACGUAUUUUUGUAUAUAUCUCUGAAAAGAAAAAAGUAGGUAGAUAUUUGCACAUCUUUUAAAAAAAUAUCGUAAAUAAAAUAAAAUUGAAUAACUGAAUUAUUCAGUUAUAAUUAUUCGUUAAUUACUUACAAAUAUAAGAUUGAAUGAUCGGAAGGUGAAUUGAAACUUGUGAUUUCAGUGCAAUGAAUUGACUGCUUGAUUUAGUUGACUUUUGAUUCAUUUUAGUAACGUACAAGUUAUGAGAAUUGAAGAAGAUCGUUUCUUUAAUCUUCAAAUCGGGUUAGGCUAUGAAAGAGACGACCAACAGUCAACGCAGAUGACAUCAUCGGAGGGACCGACAAGGUACAAAUGGUAGAAGCGUCAUAAAAAAAGCCACUAGUAAAGAAAGAGUGCUCGGUGGGGUUAGGAAAAUUUGGGGUGUCGGCGAUCAUUGGAGGAAAAAAAGAAUAUCAUGAUUAUAUAUUUGAGAAUUUUUGUAUACAUCAAGGUCCAAAACCCAAACAAAUUAUAUUAAUACAGAAUGCAUCAGGUAAGAUGUCAAAUAUAAAAUAUUGAUUAGAUAUUUGAUUUCAAUCUCCUCAAGAUAUUGGAGAUUGUCAUCGUCGUCGUCUUCUUCUUCUUUUUGUUUCUUCAAACAUAUCGUGAACUACAUAGAGGGCGACGAUGAAAGAAAGAUCAACUUCUUGAAAGAUUUCGAGUCGACGGGUCUCUUUCAGCUUUAGAAAAUUUUGCAGUUUGUUGAUGGUUUUUAUCUGCAACAUAUAUUUGUUAAUAUACAUGUUCAAGUAAACCGGAUGAUGAUGAUGAUAGAUAGAUAGAUAAAUAGAUACCUUUGCGACCACAGCAUCGGAAUCUCCACUGUGAAAAUAGUAGGAUUCCGAAAACAAUUUCUUCUUGAUCUUGAAAUCGCAAGGUUUCCUUGCCAUAUUUGUCACCGCAAAAACAUCCAUUAUGCUACUGAAUUCAAAUAUUGAGGAAGCAUUGGCCGUCCAAAGCAAAUUCGAUUGAUCUAUGGAAUCACCUCUGAAAAUUCUGUACUCAUCUAUUGAAAACCAUUCCUUCAAUGGAUUUAAAUUUUUUAGAAAAAUGAAUCAACUCUUUGAAAUCAAUCAAUUGAUCAUAGAUUUGAAAAUAUAAAUUAAUUAUAUACAU
This 6451-nucleotide long non-coding RNA is filed under the name Zostera marina. Its description in RNAcentral is "long non-coding RNA (ZMAR_LNC002055)". The record is from RNAcentral. Lineage: Eukaryota; Viridiplantae; Streptophyta; Magnoliopsida; Alismatales; Zosteraceae.